RNAcentral lists this ribosomal RNA (868 nucleotides) under uncultured archaeon. Its description in RNAcentral is "bacterial SSU rRNA". It matches the Rfam family "Archaeal small subunit ribosomal RNA", at positions 125 to 995 of the family's 1478-position model. The record is from RNAcentral.
GAUAACCUCGGGAAACUGGGUAUAAUACCCGAUAGGUCUCGAUUGCUGGAAUGCAUCGAGAUUUAAAGCUCCGGCGCCUAAGGAUGGGUCUGCGGCCUAUCAGGUAGUAGUGGGUGUAGCGUACCUACUAGCCUACGACGGGUACGGGUUGUGAGAGCAAGAGCCCGGAGAUGGAUUCUGAGACACGAAUCCAGGCCCUACGGGGUGCAGCAGGCGCGAAAACUUUACAAUGCUGGCAACAGCGAUAAGGGAACCUCGAGUGCCAGGUUACAAAUCUGGCUGUCGAGAUGCCUAAAAAGCAUUUCGUAGCAAGGGCCGGGCAAGACCGGUGCCAGCCGCCGCGGUAACACCGGCGGCUCGAGUGGUAACCGUUAUUAUUGGGUCUAAAGGGUCUGUAGCCGGCCGGAUAAGUCUCUUGAGAAAUCUGGCAGCUUAACUGUCAGGCUUUCAGGAGAUACUGUCUGGCUCGAGGCCGGGAGAGGUGAGAGGUACUUCAGGGGUAGGGGUGAAAUCUUGUAAUCCUUGAAGGACCACCAGUGGCGAAGGCGUCUCACCAGAACGGACCUGACGGCAAGGGACGAAAGCUAGGGGCACGAACCGGAUUAGAUACCCGGGUAGUCCUAGCCGUAAACGAUACUCGCUAGGUGUCGGCCACGGUGCGACCGUUGUCGGUGCCGUAGGGAAGCCGUGAAGCGAGCCACCUGGGAAGUACGGCCGCAAGGCUGAAACUUAAGGGAAUUGGCGGGGGAGCACCACAACGGGUGGAGCUUGCGGUUUAAUUGGAUUCAACGCCGGAAAUCUUACCGGGACCGACAGCAAUAUGAAGGCCAGGCUGAAGACUUUGCCGGAUUAGCUGAGAGUGGUGCAU